Molecule: long non-coding RNA, 285 nt
Filed under: Brassica napus (rape)
Lineage: Eukaryota; Viridiplantae; Streptophyta; Magnoliopsida; Brassicales; Brassicaceae
Description: long non-coding RNA (BNAP_LNC014905)
Source: RNAcentral
AAAAUUUUAUACCCGUAGGAGAAGAUAACACUGAUAAUAAGAGAGGAUGUGUUAUUAGAAGGAGAAGGAAUGGUGUGUUUAUAAACGAUCGAAACGAUCGUUUAUAUAGAAGAGAAAUUAACUGUGCAAAUAGUGCAACGGGCCUCACAUCCUUUAUAAUUUUCAACAUAUGCGGCUCAUAACAGUUACUCUAUAUUUGGAGUCAACUUAUUUUUCACUCUAUUAUUUCACUCUAACGAGGUUAGAAAUGCCAUUGGUAUAAAGAAGAAAAAGUCCCUAUCAAAC